AUAAUCACGGUUUGGCAGAAAUUUUACCUGAAGUGGAAGGUUUAAAAAGAACUGCUGAAGUCAAAUGAGCUGUCAUUGUUGUGUGCAGAUUUCGUUAAUCUGUCCAAAUGGUUGAUGUAUUUCAGUGCAUCCAAUUGCUGCGUUGUUCUCUGGAUCAGCGCAAGGAUGUUACUCUACAUUCGUAAAGGAUACGAUUUGACACGUAAAAACUCGUUGAACAGUUGGGGAAGAUGGCAUGAGUGUUAAUAAAUACUCGAUACAACUCUGCACACUGGAGGAAACAGCUUUGGUUAACAGUUUCGAAAAAAACUUUGCGAAGGCCAUGACUCUUGUUCGUCUUUAAG
Long non-coding RNA from Xenia sp. Carnegie-2017, 344 nucleotides. RefSeq lists it as uncharacterized. The record is from RefSeq and is a predicted model, not a curated record. NCBI's taxonomy places the organism in Eukaryota, Metazoa, Cnidaria, Anthozoa, Malacalcyonacea, Xeniidae. The transcript is spliced from 3 exons.